GGUGUAGCUUUGUGGUAGAGCAUGGGCCUAGCAUGUGCAAGGCUCUGGGUUCAAUCCCUAGGACCA
RNAcentral lists this transfer RNA (66 nucleotides) under Marmota monax (woodchuck). RNAcentral describes it as "tRNA.Ala". The record is from RNAcentral. Lineage: Eukaryota; Metazoa; Chordata; Mammalia; Rodentia; Sciuridae.